GGCCAUGUCCUGAGCUGCAGUCAGUUUCCCGUCAGGCUCGCACGGCGCUCGGUGAGGGCCGCAGGGACUGGGACCGGCUGACACCACACUCAGGCAACAGAACAACUUUUGUGCACUCCGUCCUCCUCUGGAGCUUUUUUUUUUUUUUUUUUUUUUAAAAACAUGUCUUUCAACCCAAAUUGGGAUUAGUGUGCUGCUUUGGUUCUGCAGCUCGCUUUUACUUCGGCCCCUUUGGUCAUAGUUCAAAACCACGUUAGCUAAAUUUGACAAGCUAAUACACUUUUCAGCAAAUUAAAUGAACAGCAUGUACAUUCCCAUUUGAGCAGUAACAUCUCAUCAUCAUCAGGGAAACGUGGCGAACGAAACAUAGCAAACAGGCUCUUGUGUCUUUAUGAGUGAACGUGCAGCGCUGACGAACACAACACAGAUGGAGAUGCUAAACUCACCUGACUGUUGGACUCAACUCAUCUUCAGGCCCAAGCCAGAAUAUCCAGAGUAAAGCGCCACCUCUGGCACACAGAUCACCACACCACUCUCUUUGCAUAUAUUUAUAUCAAAUGAAAGACUUUUUUUUAAUCCUGUUGGAACAAGGACCGACUGCCAAAUUUGAUUUUUAAAUGUACUUUUAAGCUGUUCAUGCUUUACGUUUGCAUUUUUCUUAACAACUGAACAACAUGGAGCUGUGUUUACGGCUAUGAUGGGAUUUGAAAGUUACAGAUUAUUUUUUUUAUAAGCAAAUCACACCCCUAAAAACACAGUCCCUUUUCUCACAGCUAAAUAUUGUAACUCAAAGUCAACACUCACAAGGCAGACCCUGUUCAUUCUCUAAUUCUGUAUGUAGUAAAUUUGAUUUAAUUAUGAAAGGCAAGGUUUACAUCCAUCAAUGAAUGGGGCUUUUUUUCUAUACUGUAUUUGAGCUGCAGUAAUUCUGUGGAUUGCACUGAGCACACUUUAAACAAUUGCAUUUCGCUAAACAUCUUUAAACAUUUUGACAAAUUUAACUUCCCCCUGAACACAGAGGAUAAGAGGAAAAACAUUUCUCUGAUGAGAACAGAAACAGCAAGAAGUUCUAACAAGGAAAAGCCUGCCAGGUGGCGAACUGGCUGCACCAACAGAACGCACAAUCUGUCUGCUUCUCCUUCCAAACCAUUGACAGCUGCCAUCACCAGCCUUGCACACUCGCACUCAGUGGCUCCUCAGCUCCCUGCCCAUCCCUCUUUAGUGUUUCCUGCUAACCUCAGAGACAGGGUCACCUGGCCCCCUAGUUGCCCGUCUGUGGGGCCCUGCUGGCCCCCUGGAGACCUGCCUGCAUGGGGAUGCAUGGCUAACAGAGGUCUAGUAAAGCCUCUUUAAUAUGCAAACCAAGGGGCUAUUCCUUUGACCUGAGACCAUAGCUUUUCUAACAGUGAAAUCCAAAAAUAUUCUUGUGAUGUACAACGACGAGAUCUGAUCAGCAGUUUUUGAUCUGCUGGUUAUUUGAUACCUGAUAUUAUAACGUACAAACGGCAGCGUAUUUGGAUAUUUUCCUCAAGCAGGUGGGUCAUUUACAGCGAUGUAGCAUGAUUGAAUCAGAGUGUGUUCCCUUCACUUUAUUUGAACGAGAAUAUAAUCAUCUGCAGUUUUAACAUUUUGUUAAAUUGGAACAGCAUUUCUCCGCUGAGUAAAACCUAAGCACACAGAUGCACAGAGGCUAAACUGAGGAGUGUUCCACAAAGCUACCAUUGCAACUGGGCUAAAAAUAAAACCUGGCAAAGUUAUUCUGAUCCCUUAUUGGUCCCAUAGUUUGAUUUCACAUUUAGCAUUUGCAUUCCCCUCCGCAUAAACAUUUCAUUCUUCCCCUCCUGCAGUACAAUGAGACUUGAGUGACUUUGGCAGCAGAUUUUGGAUCGGUGCUCCUGAAUCCACCAGUGUAUGUUAUCAGCAGGUAAACAAGCUUUCGAACAAAGCCAUAAUGGAACUGCAAGCGGCAUAAAGAGGCUCAUCUCAAAAGCUAUACAACCCAUCAAAGCUGGUGUCAUUUCCUCAACACUGCACUGCAGCUGGAAAAUGCAUGGCUGUU
Long non-coding RNA from Paralichthys olivaceus (Japanese flounder), 2059 nucleotides. RefSeq lists it as uncharacterized. The record is from RefSeq and is a predicted model, not a curated record. Lineage: Eukaryota; Metazoa; Chordata; Actinopteri; Pleuronectiformes; Paralichthyidae.